RNAcentral lists this unclassified non-coding RNA (651 nucleotides) under Hevea brasiliensis (rubber tree). The record is from RNAcentral. Lineage: Eukaryota; Viridiplantae; Streptophyta; Magnoliopsida; Malpighiales; Euphorbiaceae.
GCAAUGAAGAAAGUUCUUAUUCAAAACAAUGAAGAGUUAGAGUUGGUGAAAGAGGAGAUCCGCGUUUCGUCUCUGUUUAGCCAUCCCAAUCUGCUUCCUCUCCUGGAUCACGCCAUCAUUUCGGUCAAGGCCUCACAAGACCAGUCUAGGAAGCAGGAAGCUUACUUGUUAUUUCCAGCCCAUAUGGAUGGGACAUUACUGGACAGUAUGAAAGCCAUGCAAGCAAAACAGGAGUUCUUUUCCACUUUGGAGGUGCUUCAAAUAUUUCAUCAGCUCUGUGCAGGUCUCAAGCAUAUGCAUAGCUUUGAUCCUCCGUAUGCACAUAAUGAUGUCAAACCUGGUAAUGUCCUGCUAACUCAUAGAAGAGAACAACCACCUCUUGCAGUAUUAAUGGACUUUGGAAGUACACGUCCUGCAAGAAAGCAAAUCCGCUCUCGUCAAGAGGCAUUGCAGCUGCAGGAAUGGGCAGCUGAGCAUGUUUCCGCACCCUUCCGAGCACCUGAAUUAUGGGAUUGCCCAAGCCAAUGUGAUAUUGAUGAAAGAACUGAUAUCUGGUCAUUAGGUUGUACAUUAUAUGCAAUAAUGUAUGGAGUAUCUCCCUUUGAAUACGCACUUGGGGAAUCUGGUGGAAGUCUGCAGCUGGCUAUUGUA